RNAcentral lists this ribosomal RNA (1869 nucleotides) under Triticum aestivum (bread wheat). RNAcentral's name for it is "partial small subunit ribosomal RNA". Lineage: Eukaryota; Viridiplantae; Streptophyta; Magnoliopsida; Poales; Poaceae. The record is from RNAcentral.
ACGGAAGCUUCGUUGCAUUCCACAUUCCACAUUCCACACUCCACUUGUACUCGGCUCUCCACUCCCGGUCUUGGUCGUCGUCAUCCGCAUCUCUCCACCCCGCCGCCUCACAUCCUCCUCGGCCCCUCCUCCUCCUCCCCCGACGAGCCGGGCCGGCGGCCGCACGCCGCUCAGGCGAGGUAGGGGCUACUGUACCUGCCUGCCCUACAACUCAUCCGCGCCCCACCCUCGCCACCUUAGAAGUGUCCAGGCAGACGCAUCAAACUUCUCAGCAGCCUCUGCAGCACUAUUGCUCUGCAGGGUCUUCUUCAGCUUCUGCGCCGCAAGGAAGAAUGGACAGGCUAGAUGGCUCUGCACGCCUUAUGAUCGUUUCGGAUCUUGACCAGACGAUGGUUGAUCACUGUGAUCCGGAGAACUCGGCCUUGCUCCGUUUCGAGGCGCUCUGGGAGUCUGAGUACUCCCAGGAUUCUCUGCUGGUGUUCUCGACUGGAAGAACGCCGGUUAGUUACAAGGCUCUGAGGGAAAGAAAGCCUUUGCUCACACCGGACAUCACCAUCAUGUCUGUGGGCACCGUGAUAGCAUAUGGCCAGGAGAUGACUCCUGAUGUUGGCUGGGAGGAAUUUCUGAAUAACAAGUGGGAUAGGGAUAUUGUUGUUCAGGAGACAGCUACGUUCCCUCAGCUAAAGCCACAGGCAUAGAGGAAUCAGGGUCCUCAUAAGGUCAGUUUUUCCGUUGACAGGCAGGGUGCUCAGGAAGUGAUUAAUUCACUCCCUCAGAAACUGGAACAGCUUGGGCUAGAUGUGAAGAUAAUCUAUAGUAGCGGAGAAGCCCUAGAUGUAUUGCCACGAGGCGCAGGGAAAGGGCAAGCUCUUAUAUAUUUACUCGAGAAGUUCAGUUCGUGCGCAAAAUCACCGAACAAUGUUCUUGUGUGUGGUGACUCUGGCAAUGAUGCAGAUUUAUUCAGUGUUCCAUCUGCCUAUGGUGUCAUGGUUAGCAAUGCCCAAGAGGAGCUUCUUCAGUGGUAUGAAGAGAAUGGAAAAGAUAAGCCUAAGUUGCUUCAUGCAACUGAGAGAUGCGCUUCCGGUAUCAUGCAAACUAUCGGUCACUUCAAACUAGGACCUAGUUUUUCUGUAAGAGAUCUUGAAUUCCCAUAUCCAAAGGUAGACACCAUCAAGCCUGCAGAUGUAGUGGUGAAGUUCUAUGUUCUUUACGAGAAGUGGCGGAGGGGUGAGGUUCAGAAGUCUCCAUCAGUUAUACAAUACUUGAAAAGCAUUACUCACCAGAAUGGCACACUGAUUCAUCCUUGUGGAAUGGAGAGGUCACUUCAUGCAUCCGUUGACGCACUGAGUUCAUGCUAUGGUGACAAACAAGGCAAAAAGUUCCGAGCAUGGGUGGACCGACUUGUUACAUCACCAAUUGGUACAAGUAACUGGUUGGUGAGGUUUGACAACUGGGAGAUGGAAGGUGGUGUGCAAUAUUGCUGCCGGACCACUCUUCUGCUGAAUACAAAGCCUGAGACUCCAGAGGGCUUGGAACUGACACACAUCCACAAGACCUGGGUUGAAGGAUACUCGGCUGGGAAUGAUCAUACCUUCAUCUUAUAGAUCAUUUAACCACUCGCCAUAUAUGCACAGACCCUCUCAGAGUCGGGAUAGAUUUACAAAUGUACUGGUUCCUGUGUAAAUGGAUCUCUCGGCUGAUUCAAACUACUGUACUGUUCUGACGCUCCCAGAGAGGGUCAAUCUUCAUGUUGAUCUCAUGCACCAAUAAGAAAUGUUCAAUGGUUCUAUCUCAUGAACUUAAUGAGAUCCAUAAGUUAAGUUCUUACUGCACCAGUAUGUUGUAAUUACAUAUAAUCAUUUCGCGAUG